AAUCCCAGAACCCCACAGUCCCCAACUGGAGCUAGAGGUCUCCGAGACCUAGACGCCGCCAUCCUGCUCAUGGCCAUGUGCGAUGCCUACGAAGCGACGCUGCAAGAUCGUAACGAGGCGGAUGAGGAUUGCAGCAUAAGUAGAAAUGAUAAAAAUAAAAAUAACAACAACAAGUCGUGUGACCGUUCCUCGCCGGGAUCAGUUGAGCAGUGGAGGGAGAUGGUGAAGGAUCACCUGGUGAAAGAGCUGCUGACUUCAUCCGACCUCGGAAUUGGAGCAGCAUUCAAUCGAAGUCUGAGUGUAGCAGAGAAGAGUAGAAAGUUCCUGAGUGCCG
RNAcentral lists this long non-coding RNA (334 nucleotides) under Zostera marina. RNAcentral describes it as "long non-coding RNA (ZMAR_LNC005905)". The record is from RNAcentral. Lineage: Eukaryota; Viridiplantae; Streptophyta; Magnoliopsida; Alismatales; Zosteraceae.